This is a non-coding RNA of Cinara cedri, 952 nucleotides long. The record is from the annotation of a GenBank genome assembly. NCBI's taxonomy places the organism in Eukaryota, Metazoa, Arthropoda, Insecta, Hemiptera, Aphididae.
CUUUUACAUCGAACUAUGUAUAUGUUUUGAAUUAUACAAUUUAAAUAUUAUAUAUUACUUAAAUAUGUAUUAAAUUGUUAUAUUUUUAAAUAAUAAAAUAACAAAGCAAAUAAAUAUAGUAAAUAAAUAGAUAAAUAAAAAGUGUAUACAUAAAAAAAAGGAAAAAAAAGAGCUGAUGCUGGGGAUGGGAGCGGCUACUGUUGUAGGUGAAAAGUUGGGAAGGUAGGAUACAUAAGGUUAUUUCAUUUAUAUCUGUAAGCAACGUCCAGUAACACUUAAUUUGAAGUACCGUAGUUAUUUUUGCGAUUUUUAUUUAAAUUUGAUUUGAAAUUUUUGAAGUCAAAAUGUAAAACGCUACUCAUUCAGACGACGCAUUGAUUCAUUUAUUUAUUUUAAUUUAUGUACACAUUUUUAUUUAUUAUUUUUAAUUUCAACCAUUUGUAUUUGUAAUAAUUUAAAUUAUUCAAGUGUAAACAUUCACUUCCAUAAUAUGUUGGAUUUAUAAUCAAAACUAAACAAAUACAUUUUCCAAUUAACUCCAUUGAUAGAAAAUUCAAAUAACAUAGAUCUGGAUUACUUGGGGAGCGCGUAAAACAACCGGAAAUAAAUCAGCCGAACCAUACUUAUGCGGAAAAAUAUUUCGGCCGUACCAUAAUUUAGCAGAAAAAUAUUUGAUCCAAAAAUAUUACAGCCAACUGUAAUAAAGAGAUAAGGUCAGAUCUUUCAAAAAACGUUAACACGUGAUAAAAAAUAAAUAAAAGAGAAAUCCCGUACAAAUUAUUUUAAAAUCAAAUACAAGUUAACCAGAUGUCCUGAGUAACCCACUUCUAUUGAUUUUUUGAACUUUUAGUCAAUGAAGUUAAUUGGAAAAUAUAUUGGUUUAGUUUUGAUAAUAAAUUCAACAUGUGUAUCUAAGUGGAUGUUUAUCUAUAUUUGAAUAAUUUAAAUGCUU